CAUAGUGGAUGUCGUGAGCCGAACGGAUCAACCGGCAAAAUUCAAUUCUGACUUCUGAGCACCUCGAUGUUUGUAGAAUGUCGAUAUUCGACCUGUCUUUGAUCACCAAAGACAGAUAACUCAAUGGGUAACUUUGCUGCUGAGCGAGACUGUAAGAUGAUAACUUAUUUUGAUUCCAUUUUGUUUCUUUGUCACAAUGUCCGGAAUUGCUGGUGUAAUAUUUGCUCAUGGUAUGCAAUUAUAUAUUUGCACAAAUUGAUGAAUUAGCAAUGUUUCUUCACGAGCUUUUGUUGUCUCUGUUUUACAGAACAAACAACUUUUUAUUAUUUUUGAAUCUAUUAAGAACCAAAUAAUUACCUUAUUUUUAUAGUCGAACAGUUAAUACAAAUAAUUUUCAAGGACUUGGUUAGGACUGAUGAUGUGGAGCAAGUAAGAUAGUUGAUGUGCUUUUUAGGAGAAUAGGUUAGGAAUUUAUGCUCUCCUUUUAUAUUACAGUGGUAGUUGGUUAAAGAUUGGUAGUUGUCUGUUUGGUGUUGGUAAAGUGUUCCUACACUGUGGACUGAUGUUAAGAUAGUUUCUGUCUUCACUCUGAAAAAAUGAUAGGUUUGCUUCACGUGAGGAAGUGCGGAAAAUAUUCUCUUUGCACCAUUGUGUAUGUUUUCUGUUAGUAGCCUGUUCUUAGCUAUUUCUCUUGAUCCCACCGGUUGUGUAUGAGCUGACUUCCUUCUGCAAUUGUAGAUUCGGUAGGUUUUUUUUUUCUAUUGAACUGUGAAGCUUGUGUCAACUUGAGCUCAUUUUAUUUAGUUUACUUAUCAUUGUCUACUAAUUGGAAACUCUAGGAUUAUUGUUUCUGUUCUGAGAAGCUUCUUAUUUCUGAUUCUCCUAUUAUUUGCAGCAUAAUACAAAAUUUGUAUUUGUUUAUGCUGAUGAUUGCUGGAACCCGCUGCUUCUUCACCACCUCCUGCAGACGCCAAUGCCAAUGCUGCACCCGAGGUCCGCCACCUACGCUAGCCUGCCCUCUUCAACACACCAGCCACCGCUCGGUCGCCGGUGUGCUUCUCAGGAGGUCUAACCCAGUCAUUUCCCUUUCAUUUGUUUUCUGUAGAAUGGCUAUCAUUUCUUAUAAAUGUCCCUCAAAAAAUUAUUUCGUAUAAAUGAUUCCUCUUUAGAUCACUACCAGCAUGGAUAAACUUGUAAAUGAAUUUGCUGUAGAAAAAUCAGAAAAAGAGUUGGCUAUUGUGUUAGAGAUUUUAUGAAGAAUAAAUGAAUGCUGCUGGAAGAUUCUAAAAGUAAUUCAAAGAAUUACCCUAUUGUACCACAAUUCCUGUUCUCAAAGUAUACUGACAGAGGAUUGGUCAAUGAGCUCAAGUGGAGGUCUAAUCAACAUCCUACUUCCAGUUGAUUGAGGAAAUGAGGAGAUUGAUGAGUGUGCGACCGAUGGCUAGGGGGAAGGGCGAGAUGUUGAUGCCUCAAUGUAGGGCCGGUCCCAGACUAGGAGCAGGGCAGCAGGCGACAUUCAGCAUAAGAAAGGGCUAGGGCAAAGGCGAUGUGCACCAUCCAUCUGCGACUUAAAGGAGAUGAGGCCAUCCAGCCCACCUUUUGUGAUAUUGCUCGUGCUGCUUCCGAGCAAGGAAAGGCAUCGCAGUUUGAAGGUUGAGGGUCGGCACUGACGGGGUCAUCAGGGUGACGAGUGAACAUGGACCUGGAGGUGGCACACACGAUGAAAGCUGCCAUGAGCUGGUGUAUUUCAGGUCUGAUCUGGUACGACUUCAUCGAUGCUUCUGGAUUCUUUCAUGCUAAGGUCUAAUCUGAUGCUUCUUGCUUCUGCCUGGACAAGAUGGUGUCACUGGUUGACAAGCUUCAGCUCCAGGUCACAAUUUUGAUCUGAUGCUAUCAGCAAUCUGUUCAUGUUUGUCUAGGCAGUUGUUUUCAUGUUUUUUAUGCAUUAGCAGAUGAGUAAGAGGUUUGGCACCCAGGCUUGUAUUCUGGAUGUUGUGUUGAUGUGACCAUGCUCUUUUUUUGACAUCUUUAAUGUCUAAUUGUCUUGAUUUGUUUUGCU
Molecule: long non-coding RNA, 2059 nt
Organism: Lolium rigidum
Lineage: Eukaryota; Viridiplantae; Streptophyta; Magnoliopsida; Poales; Poaceae
Exons: 5
Source: RefSeq, a predicted model, not a curated record